RNAcentral lists this transfer RNA (77 nucleotides) under Culicoidibacter larvae. Its description in RNAcentral is "Firmicutes bacterium CS-1 tRNA-Arg". It matches the Rfam family "tRNA". From Rfam's summary of the family: Transfer RNA (tRNA) molecules are approximately 80 nucleotides in length. Their secondary structure includes four short double-helical elements and three loops (D, anti-codon, and T loops). The record is from RNAcentral. Lineage: Bacteria; Bacillati; Bacillota; Culicoidibacteria; Culicoidibacterales; Culicoidibacteraceae.
GCGCCCGUAGCUCAGCUGGAUAGAGCGUUUGAUUCCGGUUCAAAAGGUCGUGGGUUCGACUCCUGUCGGGCGCGCCA